Molecule: ribosomal RNA, 474 nt
Filed under: Triticum aestivum (bread wheat)
Lineage: Eukaryota; Viridiplantae; Streptophyta; Magnoliopsida; Poales; Poaceae
Description: partial small subunit ribosomal RNA
Source: RNAcentral
CUUGAUGGCAUCAAUAUCCCCGAUGGCAAGUUCUACCUAGGAGAUGUUGGCUAUGCAUGUCGGCCCGGUGUUCUUCCACCCUUAAGGAAAAGGUAUCAUCUGAACGAGUUCGCUGGUAGGAACUAUCCUAGGACUCCAUGGGAACUAUUUAAUCUCGGACACUCCAUCCUUAGAGUUACGAUUGAGAGGGCAUUUGGAGCUCUGAAGAAUAGGUUUAAGAUCCUGAAUCAGAAGCCAUUCCACACUUUCCCCACCCAGGUUAAGCUUGUUCUUACUUGUUGCAUUCUGCAUAACUGAAUUCUACAAUGGGGUUGUGAUGAACUAGUGUCAUGGGAGGAAGAGCAACUUUGUCAUUGCCUCUAGGGCAUAUUUCCUUCAAUGGUGGUAUUUGACAACGAAGCCUGAAAGAACAAAAGGAUGAAGUGCACACAGACAAUAUGGGAUAACCGAGGUCAAACAAGAACAUCAGCAUAA